UACGUAGGGGGCUAGCGUUGUCCGGAUUUAUUGGGCGUAAAGAGCGUGUAGGCGGCCUGGUAGGUCUGCUGUGAAAACUCGAGGCUCAACCUCGAGAUGUCGGCGGAAACCAUCUGGCUAGAGUCCGGAAGAGGAGAGUGGAAUUCCUGGUGUAGCGGUGAAAUGCGCAGAUAUCAGGAAGAACACCUAUGGCGAAGGCAGCUCGCUGGGACGUAACUGACGCUGAGACGCGAAAGCGUGGGGAGCAAACAGG
RNAcentral lists this ribosomal RNA (253 nucleotides) under uncultured bacterium. RNAcentral describes it as "partial 16S ribosomal RNA". It matches the Rfam family "Bacterial small subunit ribosomal RNA", at positions 524 to 776 of the family's 1533-position model. The record is from RNAcentral.